This is an RNA transcript of Daphnia magna, 3283 nucleotides long. RefSeq lists it as uncharacterized. The record is from RefSeq and is a predicted model, not a curated record. The transcript has 2 exons. NCBI's taxonomy places the organism in Eukaryota, Metazoa, Arthropoda, Branchiopoda, Diplostraca, Daphniidae.
AAGAAUAAGUACCACCAGACCACGGCCUUGGAUUGCAAAAAAAUUCGUGGUCGCAUGUUUGUUAAGGGUAGGCUACAUGGGCAAUAAGUCAGUUAUACUUGGCUACCCACGUCAUUCUAACGUUUACAAGUUAAGUUAUAAUAGAGUUAUUGUUUAUCAUCAUGUUUAACUGCCCCGUGUGUAAGAAAAAUGUGGAAGUUGGUUCGCGUUUAGAUGUUGGGAGACAUAUGCGAAUGCAUAUUCGUACGCUUGAUUAUCCAGUGUCUUUCCCAAUACGGUGUUGCCAACAGAGAUGUCAUUCUAUUUACUCUUCCUUGGAUGCGUUUGUGAAACAUAUGGGUAAAAAGCAUAGCAGACAAUAUAGCAAUAUUGCUCCCGUAGCUAAUGACUGCGAUAACCUUGACGGCUACGUCCCCGAAGGGGAUAAUGGAGACCAUGAAAUGCAAGAAAUGCCGCAUCCGAGUGACAUUGAAUCAGAUAAGUGUUAUAGCAAUGAGGCUAUGAAAUUAAUACUGUGUUUAGUUAGUAAAAGCUCGGUGACAUUUAAUUGCGUGACUGAAGUGCUUGCAAUUUUUGAUAAUUACCUGCAAUCUACACUUGCCAACAUACACAACAAAUUAGAGCAAAUUGAAAUUGCCUAUCAUACCCCUACUUUGUCCAUUGUACUAGACGAAAUCAAUAAAUCAAGGCAAUGCAUUUCUUCUCUUAACACCGAUUACAAAAUAAAAAAUUCAAUAACUCAACAUAAUUUGUUUAUAAAUCCCAUAGAGAUUGUGCUGGGUGAAAGAGAGGAAGUGCAUUUGCAGGAUGGGGCCUCAAUCAAUAAUGUCACUGUUAAAGAUAAAGCUUACUACGUUCCCAUUUUCAGUAUUAUAAGAAAUUUGUUGUCUGACGAAAAAUUUGCAACACAUAUUUUCAAUGAAAAAUUGUUUCGCAAAAAAGCUGACGGAGUAUAUUCAAAUUAUUGUGAUUCUACUAAGUUCAAGCAACACGGUCUCUUUUCCGACAAAACUAAAAUUAGUUUGAGAAUUCAAUUGUUUUAUGAUGGCAUGGGAACAACAAAUCCUCUUCGUGGCCAUGCAUCAAUUCACAGUGUUGGUGUAUUUUAUAUUUCUUUUGAAAAUGUACAUGAGAAGUACAGCUUUAAUUUUCAAAAAGUACAUCUCCUUUCUAUGAUUAAUACUUUAGAUGUUAAAACGUAUGGUUUCGAUGUUAUUUUAAGAAAAAUUACUGAUGACAUUAAAAUUCUUGAAACUACAGGAAUUCCCGUAGAAAUAAAAAAUAAAGGAACAGUGCAAAUAUUUGGAUCGAUAAGUCAGUUUUGUGGGGACAGUCUCGCAACAAACGAAGUAUUUGGACUUGUUGAAAAUUUUAGUAGGACGGAAUACUGUUGCGCGAUUUGUUACGGUAAUAUCCAGGAACGAAGUACAUACUUUUGGGAAUCCGCGUUUCGUUUACGUAACAAAGAGUUGCACAAGGACGACUUAGAAAUGCUGCAUUCUGAUGAUGAAUUACUUCAUGUUCGGGGAGUUAAAAAAAACAGCGUCUUAAACGAACUAAAAUUUUUCUAUACGUCCACAAAUCGUACCGCUGACAUCAUGCACUUAUUGCCUGAGGGAAUCUUACCUCUUGUAUCUGGGAAUAUUUUACAUGAAUUUAUUACUAUCCGGAAAGUUAUGUCACUGACUGAUUUAAAUAGAAAAAUUCGAUGGGUUUUUGCUUGCCUCAAAGUAGACAAAGGUAAUACGCCCCCUGAAUUGAACAGCCUCAAGCCACCGGGGAAAGGGUUAUCACCUAAACUUACCGCUAAUGAAAUGCUUUGUCUUUUUAGGUAUUUACCUGUUAUCCUUGGGCCAUUUAUCCCUACGGGUGACAAGUUUUGGGCUUUGUUUGUUCAGUUGCAAAUGCUUGUAGACAUCGCAUAUGCUCCUAAACUUACAGACGUGAUAUUAGAUUACUUUGAAGAACUUUAUGAAGAUCACAUGUUGUUGUAUAAAGAACUUUAUCCUGAAAUCGCGGUUAAACCCAAGCAGCACUUUUUGGUCCAUUUUAAAACAAUUGUUAAAGAAAAUGGACCUACCCGUAACCUUUCUUGUUUGAAAUAUGAACUACGAAACGGAUUUUUUAAACGUUUGAGCCAUGUCGUUUGUAAUUUCAAAAAUAUUAGCAAAACCUUGACCACUCGAAAUCAAUAUACAACCCUUGCUCACUCUAUUAUAGGAGAUAUCUUACGCGACGAGUUUAUUUUCUCAGGUCAACAAAAAACAUGCGUUUUACAGUCAAUUGAAUCCUCAGAAAUCGUAGCCCAAAAACUUAACAUACCAUUAACCACGACUGUUGACAUUGUAAAACACGUUGAUUAUUAUGGCGUAACUUAUUCAGUAGGAAAUAUAGUCGUUAUUAGUAAAGAAAAUUUUGAAUUAAAAUUUGGUGAAGUACAGUCUAUUAUUCGAGAAAAGAAGCAAUGCGUUAUAUUGGUCCAAAAAUUUGAAACUGUUGGUUUUAAUUCACACCUGCACGUAUUUAAGGUAAAAAUACCAACAACUACUGAACUUAUUUGCAUUGAUUUCACUGAACUUUUUGAUUACCAUCCUUUGGACCUCUAUUAUAGUAUAUCUGACGAUAAUUACUACGUCAGAUUGAAAUAUCACCUCUUUUAAAAACAACCGUAUGAAAAAUAAUUGAAAUCCAUUUUAUGACUCACAUUAAUUUUAAUAUACUCCAUUAAACACGUUUAGUUCAUUUUACUGUCGUAAGAGUCAAUAGCAAAAUUACUCCUUUCGAGUAAACGUUGCCAUAUAGAAAACAUUAUUUUAGAUAAAGCUCUUUUUUGGUGGGGGUUGGGGGUGGCGGGAGCUGCAGUAGCCGUGGGUCUAUCAUUAUUCCCAAAUUUUCCACGCUAUUGCUCAUUUGUGCGUAGGUGUCUGCCGCGGCCUAUUAAUUUCUCCUCACAAAACUGAGUUUGGUAGCAAACUAGAGUGUCUGUUAAAGAGCAAAUAGUGAAUAUUAAAAAAAUCAAGACAAGUAAACAGUGACAAAGCAGUGAAGUGAAUAUCAAACAUACGCAAUGCCUCUGUGUAAAAUAAUGAUAAAAGGUACGGGACAAACUGGUAUAUUCAACGAAGAAACGCUGCUUGACUUGAAAAAUAAAAUUUCUCAAAGAUUCCUGGCACCUGUCGAUCUCCUAGAGCUGCAUAGCGACGGAUUUCCUGUUGUGUGCGAUGACGACUUUUUGUGCCUGAGUAUCGUUGCUGGUCCUUUAACAUUCACUGUCACUAUCCUU